Humulus lupulus (European hop) is the source of this 550-nucleotide long non-coding RNA. RefSeq lists it as uncharacterized. NCBI's taxonomy places the organism in Eukaryota, Viridiplantae, Streptophyta, Magnoliopsida, Rosales, Cannabaceae. The transcript has 3 exons. The record is from RefSeq and is a predicted model, not a curated record.
UUGGUCCGAAAGUUUGGGUUGUUGGAAUUGGGUGUUGAUUUUGUUUGUGGAAUCUGUGUGAUGCUAUAAAUAUAUGUAUAAUAUUUGGGUAAUCUUUGGUUGGUCCGAAAGUUUUUUUUUUUUUAUUUCUUUGAUAUUUUUGAGAUGUAAUUUUGUUAUCACAUUUUGAUUUCUUUGAUUUUCCUGGUAUGCUAACAAGGGACAAAGAAAAUUGUGGAUUUAUAUAUAAAUAUAUAUAUAUUAAGUUGAUUUAAUUUUGUUUAAAUUUAAUUAUUUGGGUUGAUUUUGUGUAGAAAUUGAAUGAGUAUCUCUUGGAAAUUCGGUCACUGGUAUAAUAUAAUUUUGUGGCAUCAAGAUGUCAGCAGAUGUGGCUAGAGCUCACGGUGGAGACGCUGGCGGUGAUCCUCCACCGGAUCCUACUAGGAUCCCGACUACAUGCGAGUCAGGAAUCCCAACUAAGAAAAAGGGUCGUGGCGCAGCUAUUGGAAAAGAUCUAGAGGAGAGGCGGCGUAAAAAUGGAAAACCACUGGAAGUAGCGUUUUGCCCACGA